Rosa rugosa (rugosa rose) is the source of this 1914-nucleotide long non-coding RNA. RefSeq lists it as uncharacterized. The record is from RefSeq and is a predicted model, not a curated record. NCBI's taxonomy places the organism in Eukaryota, Viridiplantae, Streptophyta, Magnoliopsida, Rosales, Rosaceae. The transcript has 4 exons.
UCUCUCAGAUUCUCUGUCUCUCUCUCUCUCGAUCACGACAAUGUCCGGCGCUCGCUCGACUCAGACUCCUGCUUAUUCUCCACCAGCGGCCUCGUCAAGUUCGGCUCCUCCGGUGGCUUCGCUGAGUAGCUAGCGAGAUGGAGCAGAAGUUGACACUCGAGACGACGACGGCCGUGGCUGUUGUGCCGCCGGCGUCGUCGAUUCCGCAGAGACUGGGGUUCAGGACGGUCGGUAAGAAAAUUCAAGUCAGAGCCAAUCACUUCCUGGUGCAGGUUGCAGACAGAGACCUCCACCAUUACGAUGCAAGUUUUUAUUUUUCUUUUUAAUUGCAAAAAUAUUUUAUUCAUGUAAAUUUAUGCUUUUACUGCACCUGCGGAAAAUUUUGUUUAUGCGGUAUUCUAUUUCUGAGUUAAAAUGAUGAGAGAAGGUGGUGGUUUUUUUUUCCUCAUAUUCUGAAGAAAAUGAAGUUUCAUCACACUUGAAUAAUCCUUGAUUGCCAAUGUACGUAGAGUUUUUGACAUUUAUAUGUAUCUGAAAUAGGUUACCAACUUACCAUUACCCCAGAAGUUGCAUAAAAAAAAUCCACAGGGAUGUGAUGAACCAACUGGUUCGUUUGUAUUCCGAGACGCAAUUAGGCAAGAGAAUUCCUGCUUAUGAUGGCAUGAAGAGCCUCUAUACAGCAGGGCCAUUGCCAUUUUCCUCCCAGGAGUUUGUUGUCAAAUUACUUCCAAAUAUAAUGAUGGUCGACUGGUCGUGCUGCAGGGUCUUCAACUUCUUCGAAAAGAAAGGAUCGAGAAUUUAAGGUGGCUCUCACUUUGGCUAAUAAGCCAGACCUUUAUCAACUACAACAGUUCUUGCGCAGCCACCAUGUUGAAACACCUCAAGAGGCAAUACAAGUUCUUGAUGUUGUUCUUAGAGCUACACCAUCGGAAAAGUACACUGUUGUUGGGAGGCAGGGCCGGCUCUGAGCAGGUGCAUUGAGUGCGACAGCACAGGGCCCCGAAUUGAGAGGGCCCCAAACUUUUUUCUUUAAGCCUUUAUGUUUGCAAGAUUGAAUAUAUCAAUACUAGAAUUCAGACACGGAACACUAACACUGAUAUGAAAUAGGGCCUCAGAUUUUAUAUUUUUAUAUCUAUUUAUAUAAACAAUAAGCCUUAAAAGAAAAAAUAGGGCCACAUACACUAAAUCCUUAUCCUCUGCUCUUAGUUUUUCGCAUUCACUUUCUCCUCUACAAUAAUAUAAUUAGCUAGUUAGUUUGGUACGUACCUGAUGCCAUGGCUAGGGCCCUCAAUUCUCAUCGACCCCUUUCCCUAUUCCCAUCGAUCUCUUCUAUCCUUUUUCUUUCUCUAAUUGCUCUAAAAUAUCCCAGAUUAGUUCUCUCCCACUUCAAGUCUUCAUUCUUCAAUCAGUGAUUUAGAGGCAAAAUGAAGCUCAUCAGUAAUCCCUACACCCUAGUCAUGACUCAGGCCUAGCAAUCUUCUGGAAAUUGAGAAAUGUAAAUCAAGGAUUGGAGAGGUCAAGGAGUGAGGAAACUCAAGAGUCUCAUGCUAUACUUUGAGUCUUUGUUCUUCAGAGAAUCAGGUUUCUCAUAACACAUUGAUUUGCUUGGAUUGUCUGGUGAUGCUGUGUUAAAAUUUAGAAGCAUGCAGAUCAAAUGGACUAGCUUUGAAAAUUCAAUUGUGAUAAACUAAUUGAUGAUUUUGCAGCUAAGAAGGCAAGUAGAUUGAUUUUCAAAUGAAAGCCUGAUGCUGAUAUAUCAAUCGACACUUUGCUAGAAGAAUGUGUUAUUUUGAGGGUUUUAUGUCAGAUCUUUUUGUAAUUUUUUUUUUUGCUGCAAAUUUUUCAUUUGUAUUGAAUAUUUGGCCUCUUUUGUAGGCUCAUCUAAUGAGGUAUAAUUGAUUAGACAUUGUUGGA